CCUACGGGUGGCAGCAGUGGGGAAUAUUGGGCAAUGGGCGCAAGCCUGACCCAGCAACGCCGCGUGAAGGAAGAAGGCUUUCGGGUUGUAAACUUCUUUUGUCAGGGACGAAGCAAGUGACGGUACCUGACGAAUAAGCAUCGGCUAACUCCGUGCCAGCAGCCGCGGUAAUACGGAGGAUGCGGGCGUUAUCCGGAUUUAUUGGGUUUAAAGGGUGCGUAGGCGGGCUGUUAAGUCAGCGGUAAAAGCCCGGGGCUCAACCCCGGCGAGCCGUUGAAACUGGCUGUCUUGAGAUGUCGAGAGGUAUGCGGAAUGCGCAGUGUAGCGGUGAAAUGCUUAGAUAUUGCGCAGAACUCCGAUUGCGAAGGCAGCAUACCGGCGGCGAUCUGACGCUGAGGCACGAAAGCGUGGGUAUCGAACAGGAUUAGAUACCCUUGUAGUC
Molecule: ribosomal RNA, 442 nt
Filed under: uncultured bacterium
Lineage: Bacteria
Description: partial 16S ribosomal RNA
Rfam family: Bacterial small subunit ribosomal RNA
Source: RNAcentral